GCACUACUGAGGAGUCCCACAAUAGGACGAAACGGCCGUCCAGUAC
This is a non-coding RNA of Schistosoma haematobium, 46 nucleotides long. The record is from Rfam. Lineage: Eukaryota; Metazoa; Platyhelminthes; Trematoda; Strigeidida; Schistosomatidae.